UUCGCCUUGACCUUCGUCGCUCCCGUAUACGCCGUCAGACGAGGCAGAAUAAACGCGUGUACUGAAAUCUGGGUAUUCCCUGUUGACGUCGAAAGCGUUGAGCGAGCGACUCGGAUACAAACGAUGCUUCGGAGCUCUGGUCCAGCAACGCGCGCACGAAAUUGAGCGCACCAAACCAGUCAGGUACCCAAACUCGUGCUGUCGCGAGGAUAAUAGUCUGUCCCGAGGUUGACAGAGGUUGUGCCGCAUGUGACGUCGUGGCGGGAAAUGUCUCCUUGAGUUUGGUACGCAUCGUGCAGGGACGAGUGAUGCUUCUCUCCGCAAACUGAACAGGCACGCCUUCAGGUAAUAAAGCCUUUCCACGUCGAUGACGGCUGCAUCGCGACCGAUGAGGGACACAAAGAGAUCUCGGAAUGAGGGCCAAUCCUCGUACUUCCCGGUGAAGCUCAGCAGCUGGAUACGUGGUAAUGUCGUCUUGGAAUUGGCGGUGUCCCCUGGUGUGGGCUUGUGUUCCUUCGCUCCGGGUAAGUGUGUUCAGUGAGGUUCUUUCUGUAAUCUUUGAGGAGGAUCUCGUGAUUGCGUUCGAACUUCUUCCAUUUGGUGUCGAGGCCCUUAAGAGAGUCACCUCAAUUAAUCGUCUGGGCCUCUUGAAAAAAUGAGAAGAGAUUGCCGUACUGGAAAUGAUAUCCGGCUCGAAGGACCAAAUGUUUCAGCAGCAGGUAGACGGCACAAUGAUUAGAUAAGAGA
Molecule: long non-coding RNA, 747 nt
Organism: Temnothorax curvispinosus
Lineage: Eukaryota; Metazoa; Arthropoda; Insecta; Hymenoptera; Formicidae
Exons: 5
Source: RefSeq, a predicted model, not a curated record